This 488-nucleotide ribosomal RNA is filed under the name Pasteurella dagmatis. RNAcentral describes it as "bacterial SSU rRNA". It matches the Rfam family "Bacterial small subunit ribosomal RNA", at positions 9 to 488 of the family's 1533-position model. The record is from RNAcentral. Lineage: Bacteria; Pseudomonadati; Pseudomonadota; Gammaproteobacteria; Pasteurellales; Pasteurellaceae.
GAGUUUGAUCAUGGCUCAGAUUGAACGCUGGCGGCAGGCUUAACACAUGCAAGUCGAACGGUAGCAGGAAGAAAGCUUGCUUUCUUUGCUGACGAGUGGCGGACGGGUGAGUAAUGCUUGGGAAUCUGGUUUAUGGAGGGGGAUAACUGUGGGAAACUGCAGCUAAUACCGCGUAGUAUCGAGAGAUGAAAGGGUGGGACCUUCGGGCCACCUGCCAUAAGAUGAGCCCAAGUGGGAUUAGGUAGUUGGUGGGGUAAAGGCCUACCAAGCCGACGAUCUCUAGCUGGUCUGAGAGGAUGACCAGCCACACUGGGACUGAGACACGGCCCAGACUCCUACGGGAGGCAGCAGUGGGGAAUAUUGCGCAAUGGGGGGAACCCUGACGCAGCCAUGCCGCGUGAAUGAAGAAGGCCUUCGGGUUGUAAAGUUCUUUCGGUAAUGAGGAAGGGGUAUUAUUGAAUAGAUAAUAUCAUGACGUAUACGAAAGC